RNAcentral lists this ribosomal RNA (912 nucleotides) under uncultured Bacteroidota bacterium. Its description in RNAcentral is "bacterial SSU rRNA". It matches the Rfam family "Bacterial small subunit ribosomal RNA", at positions 8 to 916 of the family's 1533-position model. Lineage: Bacteria; Pseudomonadati; Bacteroidota. The record is from RNAcentral.
AGAGUUUGAUCCUGGCUCAGGAUGAACGCUAGCGGGAGGCUUAACACAUGCAAGUCGUGGGGCAGCAUUGGGUAGCAAUACUCAGAUGGCGACCGGCGCACGGGUGAGUAACGCGUAUGCAACCUGCCCUGUACCGGGGGAUAGCCCGGAGAAAUUCGGAUUAAUACCCCAUAAUGAUAUCAGGAGGCAUCUUUUGAUAUUUAAAGCUUCGGCGGUACGGGAUGGGCAUGCGUAACAUUAGCUAGUUGGUAAGGUAACGGCUUACCAAGGCUACGAUGUUUAGGGGUCCUGAGAGGGUGAUCCCCCACACUGGUACUGAGACACGGACCAGACUCCUACGGGAGGCAGCAGUGAGGAAUAUUGGUCAAUGGGCGCAAGCCUGAACCAGCCAUCCCGCGUGCAGGAAGAAGGCGCUAUGCGUUGUAAACUGCUUUUCCAGGGGAAGAAAAUGCCGUACGUGUACGGAACUGACGGUACCUUGGGAAUAAGCAUCGGCUAACUCCGUGCCAGCAGCCGCGGUAAUACGGAGGAUGCAAGCGUUAUCCGGAUUCAUUGGGUUUAAAGGGUGCGUAGGCGGACAAAUAAGUCAGUGGUGAAAACCUGCAGCUUAACUGUAGACGUGCCAUUGAUACUGUUAGUCUUGAGUGUGGUCAAGGUAGGCGGAAUGUGUAAUGUAGCGGUGAAAUGCUUAGAUAUUACACAGAACACCAAUUGCGAAGGCAGCUUACUGGGCCAUUACUGACGCUCAUGCACGAAAGCGUGGGGAGCAAACAGGAUUAGAUACCCUGGUAGUCCACGCCGUAAACGAUGAUCACUCGCUGUUAGCGAUACACAGUUAGCGGCUAAGCAAAAGCAUUAAGUGAUCCACCUGGGGAGUACGGCCGCAAGGCUGAAACUCAAAGGAAUUGACGG